Molecule: ribosomal RNA, 138 nt
Filed under: uncultured bacterium
Lineage: Bacteria
Description: partial 16S ribosomal RNA
Rfam family: Bacterial small subunit ribosomal RNA
Source: RNAcentral
UGGGGAAGUAUUGCACAAUGGGGGAAACCCUGAUGCAGCGACGCCGCGUGAGCGAAGAAGUAUUUCGGUAUGUAAAGCUCUAUCAGCAGGGAAGAAAAUGACGGUACCUGACUAAGAAGCCCCGGCUAACUACGUGCC